UGCAGAGCGAAAAAGCCUACUAUCGCUGGAUAGCAGGUUCUUUUAAUGCAGGAAGACCGGUCGCUACCCCGG
RNAcentral lists this non-coding RNA (72 nucleotides) under unclassified sequences. The record is from RNAcentral.